CCGCGACUUUAACAUGGAGGCACUUGCUGGGACCUGACCAAAAAUAAGUGCUUCCAUGUUUUAGUGUGGUG
This 71-nucleotide microRNA precursor is filed under the name Sorex araneus (European shrew). RNAcentral's name for it is "microRNA 302d (ENSSARG00000015856.1)". It matches the Rfam family "mir-302 microRNA precursor family". Lineage: Eukaryota; Metazoa; Chordata; Mammalia; Eulipotyphla; Soricidae. The record is from RNAcentral.